Molecule: RNA transcript, 4403 nt
Organism: Anguilla anguilla (European eel)
Lineage: Eukaryota; Metazoa; Chordata; Actinopteri; Anguilliformes; Anguillidae
Gene name: disintegrin and metalloproteinase domain-containing protein 33-like
Exons: 24
Source: RefSeq, a predicted model, not a curated record
UUCUUGUUUUCGAGAGCACCAGCUUCCAACAGAGGGCGAGCAGCAAUCAGUGCGUGUGGAGAGUGGAGACGGAUAACGGUACCUAGAGGAGAACAGGGAUGUACAGCAAACACAGGCAGAAAAAGAUCCAGUUUAUAUUAACAGAAUGUGGACAUUCGCUUAUAUUUCUGUUUCUUUUACUGCUGAACAACGUACUGGAAAUUGAGAGCGGAGACAGCACAGAACAAGCAGGGAAGCCACAUGGACAGACUGUGGUUCCGCAUUGGCUCUCCCAAAGCCGGACCAGACGAGAGGCCGGGAUUCCAGAGCAGGUCCAGUACCCUGAUACGGGGGCGAUAGCAGUGACAGCAGAAGGGAGGGAGCUGGUGCUGCACGUGGAGCGUAAUCAUGAGCUGCUGGGCCCGGACUUCACAGAGACGCACUACAGUGAGGCCGGGGACCAGGUGACCAUCUCGGCCAAUCAAACGGACCACUGUUUCUACCAUGGCUACGUGAGAGGGCACCCAGAUUCCUGGGUCGUUCUCAGCACCUGCUCCGGGGUCCGGGGCCUGAUAGUCUUGAAUGAGAAUGACAGCUACUACCUUGAACCAAUUAGAGGGCUGGACUCUCCCCAUCACAUGAUCUACCGCACAGAGCAUCUGCCAAUCAGAGGGGGAGCAUGUGGACACGGCCACUGGGUGGGACACACAAGCCUUGUCUCCAGCCUUCUUAAACCUUUGCAUCAAAGGGUAAGGCGAAAUGCCUGGGGCACCACCAAGUACAUGGAGCUCUACAUUGUUGCCGACAGUAUGCUGUACAGAAGACAAAACAGUGACCUUGGCAAAACGAAACAGAGGAUCAUGGAGAUCGCCAAUUACGUGGAUAAGUUCUACAGGGCCCUGAACAUCCGCGUGCCGCUGAUCGGGCUGGAGGUGUGGACGGACCGGGACCAGUGCAUCGUGAGCGAGGAGCCCAACGCCACCCUCUGGUCCUUCCUGCAGUGGAGGCAGAAGCUGAAGUCUCGCAAGCGGCACGACAACGCCCAGCUCCUAACGGGCGUGAUAUUCAAAGGGACCACCAUCGGCAUGGCGCCCCUGGAAGGCAUGUGCAGCCACGAGAACUCGGGGGGCAUCAACGUGGACCACUCAGACUUGCCCAUCGGGGCGGCGGCCACCAUGGCCCACGAGAUCGGCCACAACUUCGGCAUGAGCCACGACAACGAGGGCUGCUGCGUGGAGGCCACGCCCGAGCAGGGCGGCUGCGUUAUGGCCGCCGCCACCGGGCACCCGUUCCCACGAGUCUUCAGCCGCUGCAGCAAGAGGGACCUGGACAACUAUUUCCAGAAGGGAGGGGGCAUGUGCCUCUUCAACAUGCCCAACAUGAAGGACCUGGUGGGGGGCAAGCGCUGCGGGAACGGUUUCGUGGAGGAGGGGGAGGAGUGCGACUGCGGAGAGCCGGAGGAGUGCACCAACGACUGCUGCAACGCCAACAACUGCACUCUGAAGGAGGAGGCGCAGUGCGCUCACGGGGUCUGCUGCGAGGGAUGCAAGCUGAAGCAGGCCGGGACUAUGUGUCGAGGGCCGGCAGGGGCAUGUGACCUGCCUGAGUACUGCACCGGCGCCUCCCCCUACUGCCCCUCCAACGUCUACCUGCUGGACGGCUCCUCCUGCCACAGCGGCCACGCCUACUGCUACAACGGCAUGUGCCUGACGCACGAGCAGCAGUGCGUGCAGCUGUGGGGAUACGGUGCCCGCCCCGCUCACGACGCCUGCUUCCAGGACGUGAACGCCGCCGGGAACGCCUUUGGCAACUGCGGCAAGGACGGACAGGGGAACUACAUGAAGUGUGAAAAGAGCGAUGCCAAGUGCGGGAAGAUCCAGUGCCACAGCGCUGCCAAGAAGCCCAAGGGCACCAACGCCGUGUCCAUCGACACCACCAUCCGCACCGACGGCAUGGAGCUCAAGUGCCGGGGCACCUACGUCUACGCCACCCAGGACGGGCAGGGCGACCUCCCGGACCCGGGCCUCGUCACGACCGGGACCAAGUGCGGGGAGGGGAAGGUGUGUCAGGAUCGCCGCUGCCAGAACGCAUCGUUCACCGAGCUGGAGGGCUGCAUCAACCGCUGCCAUGGCAACGGGGUGUGCAACAGCAAUCGGAACUGCCACUGUCACCGCGGAUGGGCCCCGCCCUUCUGUGAGAAGCCAGGGCUGGGAGGCAGUGUGGACAGUGGGCCCAUUCAGUACGACAGUCAGCUGGGCUUGGUGGUCGGGCUGCUCUUUGCAUUCCUGGUGCUGCUGCCCGCCGUUCUUAUUGUGUUCUACUGCUACAAGAUCAAGACCUCCCUCUACCACAAAUGGAUUUCGCAGAGGGAGAAGAACAACCAGGAGAACAGGAACGAUGUGACAGAUCACAAGGUGAAAAAUGGACAUCUGAACCCAGCUUUUCAUCUGAAAGUUGUGGGGCCAUCAUCCAAGAACAGCAACACAAAGAAGCUUCCACACACAAGCAAAGAGGUCCUACCGCUGAGACCGAACCCUAUCCCCAACUGCAACCAGCCCGUCAACAUUGUCCGGCCCCUGCGUCCCGCGCCCUCGCCCCACCGCGGUCCGCGGGACCAGCCCCUGCCGGUGGGCAAGCCCCCCCCCGUUCCUCCGAAAUCUCCAGCAGUCUUGCCCAAACUCACCCCGCCGAAGAAGCCCCUGCCCCUCAGCCCGACCAGAUGCCCUUUGCUAGUGUCUGAACUUCAGUCAAGACCCUCCCCCUCCCCACCUCAAAGACCCCUGCCCCUCAACCCCUCCCCUUGCCGGGUAGUUCUGCCCAAGCCUCCCAUAUGCCAGCUGGGGACCACGCCCUCUGCUCUCAGCCCCAAGCCAACGGGCAAGGUGUCCAGCAUUCCUCCAGUCAAAACGUUCAAGUACGUCACCUGACUCUUCAGCACAACAGUGUGGGUGGACUCUGAAACGCCUGGAAAUCGUGAUAUGAGAAGAAAACCUGUUCCACCUCAGAAGCCUGUCCCAGGGGCCAAACCGAACCCAGCCUUGUCUCCACUACGAAAAUGACCCUCGGAGACGGUGAAACUGACAGGAGUUCGGCAAACUUAUUUGCACUAAAGAGCACACUGCUGGAAGCCUUGCACAGUUUGCGGUUUUGUCCAGCAGGGGGGGGCCAGUCCAGUCCAGAUCUGGGCUGGGUGGGGAAGUGUAAGAGGUACCCCACAGGGUGCACCAGUUCCCUUCCUACGCGACGCACGUGUGCUCAAAGACGACCACGCCCAGCCUGCAAAACGACACGACGCUGCGUUCUGGGAACAGCGUAAUGAGACUGUCAGCCACAGCAAUGGAGCUUAGAUGGGCAGGAGUCACACUGAAUCAAGUAGCUCAACUGGUCUGUGCAUCACAUCGAUACCUGUGUCAUUUUUUUUUUUAUUGCUGUCAGUCUGUUUGUUUUUAAAUGUCUGUGUAAUUUUCCAAAGAUGUAAUUGCGUGUGUUUUUUUUUCCCUUUUUUGUGGGUGGGGCUUGAUUAAUUGCUGCAUUAGGGGUUUUUAAAUGUUACAUAGAAUCCAUGUGCUUUAGCCAUUUAAUCUUAUGUUUGCACAUCUUUGAACGCAGAGCUUGUUAAAUCCGGUGAAGUACACUGAUUCGUGUUUGCAUGGGAGAAAAAUGAAGGGUUUACAAAUGUGGGAUGAAUUUGUUUUCCUUUUCCACAUUACACACCCAGAUUUAUAUAUUAUGACAUCAAAACAGUGUUCGGAACAUGCCUUGUUCUAAUCAUCCCACGUCUAGGAUGAAUGGACUUGAAUUCAGCAGUGUGUAUUUUUUUUCCUGAAGUGCACUGCUCCGUCUAUCUUGAUUUCACACAACUACUACUAAACUGGGCACAGUUAACCUUUAAUCUGACGUUACACAGCUUGCUAAUGCAAUAUAAACUGGCACGAGAAAGGAGCUCUACCUCGGUAAAUUAAAAUCUGUUUUUUCUAAUUUUACACCCCUUAAAGGUGGUGCAUUACACAUGAGGUUUGUUAUAGUAACGUAAAUGAAAAUGGAGGGUUUCUUGUCUGCUGAUCAGGCUUCUGAAAGCGGUCUUUCCCGUACAUAGCCUCUCUGCAGUGGAAGUAAUUGCCAAUAAUGUUUCUGCAGUGGCAGAGUCCUGUUAGUGUGUGUUCAGUUUUCUGAGAAUUGGGCUUUUUACCAAGAAUCCCUGUACUACCACUUAAUUUUAACAUUUGCAUGUCAUUAAGGCGAUUCAUGAAGUGAAAAUGCACAAAGAAACAGAAUAACGCGUGCUUCUCUGUGGCCACUGGGGAUAUUGCCACUAUUUCUUCAUUCAGUGGGAAAAUGUAAAGUUUUGCUUGUAAAAAUCUGUAAAUGCCGUUAAUCGAUAGUAGCACACUUUCUAAUUUUUGAUUAAAAUGCUUCAGAAUACC